UUUUUUGCAGCAGAAGGCAAAGUAACUGCAAGCCUUGAGACAUAAAUUGCAUUUUACUGUUUCUGACUUUUGAGAGGCCAUGUUCAGCAGAGUGAGAGGGUGCUCUGGAUGAAAAGGAUUCUGGAUCUCUUGUGGCAAUUGUGCACAUGAUUUGUGUAAAAAGAAAUUGCACUUACUACAACCAUAGGCAUUGCCCCGGCAGCAUUCUCCACAUUCAUAGCAAUAAGCUUCAUCAGUAGCUUUCUUUUCACUGAAUAUCAGUGGAUGGCCAUGGAAGAAAUGCUGAAUUUUUGUAUGGCCACCGGAUUCUACAGUAGGCAGUAGGGCACAUUCGAGACAUAUCUGGAAAUAACACUCACCACAGCGAAAUGUCAAGCCCGAGCAAUCCU
This 389-nucleotide unclassified non-coding RNA is filed under the name Hevea brasiliensis (rubber tree). Lineage: Eukaryota; Viridiplantae; Streptophyta; Magnoliopsida; Malpighiales; Euphorbiaceae. The record is from RNAcentral.